Molecule: ribosomal RNA, 120 nt
Filed under: Coniochaeta ligniaria NRRL 30616
Lineage: Eukaryota; Fungi; Ascomycota; Sordariomycetes; Coniochaetales; Coniochaetaceae
Source: RNAcentral
AUGUACGACCAUAGGUACUGGAGAACUCGGGAUCCCGUCCGCUCUCCCAUCGAUAAGCCAGUAACCGCCAGACCAGUACUCGGGUGGGUGACCACCGGGGAAUCCCUGGUGUUGUACGUU